CACUCCUGCGGGAGGCAGCAGUGGGGAAUAUUGGACCAUGGGCGCAAGCCUGAUCCAGCCAUGCCGCGUGAGUGAUGAAGGCCCUAGGGUUGUAAAGCUCUUUCACCGGUGAAGAUAAUGACGGUAACCGGAGAAGAAGCCCCGGCUAACUUCGUGCCAGCAGCCGCGGUAAUACGAAGGGGGCUAGCGUUGUUCGGAUUUACUGGGCGUAAAGCGCACGUAGGCGGACUAUUAAGUCAGGGGUGAAAUCCCGGGGCUCAACCCCGGAACUGCCUUUGAUACUGGUAGUCUUGAGUUCGAGAGAGGUGAGUGGAAUUCCGAGUGUAGAGGUGAAAUUCGUAGAUAUUCGGAGGAACACCAGUGGCGAAGGCGGCUCACUGGCUCGAUACUGACGCUGAGGUGCGAAAGCGUGGGGAGCAAACAGGAUUAGAUACCCCAGUAGUCCC
This 446-nucleotide ribosomal RNA is filed under the name uncultured organism. RNAcentral describes it as "partial 16S ribosomal RNA". It matches the Rfam family "Bacterial small subunit ribosomal RNA", at positions 334 to 797 of the family's 1533-position model. The record is from RNAcentral.